RNAcentral lists this ribosomal RNA (440 nucleotides) under uncultured bacterium. RNAcentral's name for it is "partial 16S ribosomal RNA". It matches the Rfam family "Bacterial small subunit ribosomal RNA", at positions 338 to 795 of the family's 1533-position model. The record is from RNAcentral.
CCUACGGGAGGCAGCAGUAGGGAAUAUUGCUCAAUGGGGGAAACCCUGAAGCAGCAACGCCGCGUGGAGGAUGAAGGUUUUCGGAUUGUAAACUCCUUUUGUUAGAGAAGAUAAUGACGGUAUCUAACGAAUAAGCACCGUCUAACUCCGUUCCAGCAGCGGCGGUAAUACGGAGGGUGCAAGCGUUACUCGGACUCACUGGGCGUAAAGGGCGCGUAGGCGGGAUAGCAAGUCAGAUGUGAAAUCCUAUGGCUUAACCAUAGAACUGCAUUUGAAACUGUUAUUCUAGAGUAUGGGAGAGGUAGGUGGAAUUCUUGGUGUAGGGGUAAAAUCCGUAGAGAUCAAGAGGAAUACUCAUUGCGAAGGCGACCUGCUAGAACAUAACUGACGCUGAUGCGCGAAAGUGUGGGGAGCAAACAGGAUUAGAUACCCCAGUAGUC